RNAcentral lists this long non-coding RNA (249 nucleotides) under Mytilus galloprovincialis (Mediterranean mussel). The record is from RNAcentral. Lineage: Eukaryota; Metazoa; Mollusca; Bivalvia; Mytilida; Mytilidae.
UUAAAUCUGUGCCUGUCCCAAGUCAGGAGCCUGUAAUUCAGUGGUUGUCGUUUGUUUAUGUGUUACAUAUUUGUUUUUCGUUCAUUUUUUUACUUAAAUAAGGCCGUUAGUUUUCUCGUUUGAAUUGUUUUUACAUUGUCUUAUCGGGGCCUUUAUAGCUGACUAUGCGGUAUGGGCUUUGCUCAUUGUUGAAGGUCGUACGGUGACCUAUAGUUGUUAAUGUUUGUGUCAUUUUGGUCUUUUGUGGAU